RNAcentral lists this ribosomal RNA (464 nucleotides) under uncultured bacterium. RNAcentral describes it as "partial 16S ribosomal RNA". It matches the Rfam family "Bacterial small subunit ribosomal RNA", at positions 338 to 795 of the family's 1533-position model. The record is from RNAcentral.
CCUACGGGAGGCAGCAGUAGGGAAUUUUCGGCAAUGGGCGAAAGCCUGACCGAGCAAUGCCGCGUGAGUGAAGAAGGCCUUCGGGUUGUAAAGCUCUGUUGUAAAGGAAGAACGGAUGGCAUAGGGAAUGAUGCGAUUGUGACGGUACUUUACGAGGAAGUCACGGAUAACUACGUGGCAGCAGCCGCGGUAAUACGUAGGUGGCGAGCGGUAUCCGGAUUUAUUGGGUUUAAAGGGUGCGUAGGCGGAAUAUCAAGUCAGCGGUAAAAAUUCGGGGCUCAACCCCGUCGUACCGUUGAAACUGAUGUUCUUGAGUGGGCGAGAGGUAUGCGGAAUGCGUGGUGUAGCGGUGAAAUGCAUAGAUAUCACGCAGAACUCCGAUUGCGAAGGCAGCAUACCGGCGCCCAACUGACGCUGAAGCACGAAAGCGUGGGUAUCGAACAGGAUUAGAUACCCCUGUAGUC